GACGACGCUGGCGGCGUGGAUUAGGCAUGCAAGUCGAACGGUAUCAUCUUCGGGGUGAGAGAGUGGCGAACUGGUGAGUAACACGUAGGUUAUCUACCCUAAGACGGGACAACCCAGGGAAACUUGGGCUAAUACCGGAUGUGAGCAACUUUUAGUUGUUUGAAAGGUGGCGUAAGCUGUCGCUUGGGGAUGAGCCUGCGUCCUAUUAGUUAGUUGGUGAGGUAACGGCUCACCUAGGCAAUGAUAGGUAGGCGGCCUUAACGGGUGGUCGCCCACACUGGGAUUGAGAUACGGCCCAGACUCCUACGGGAGGCAGCAGUCGAGAAUAGUCUACAAUGGUCGGAAGACUGAUAGUGCGACGCCGCGUGAACGAUGAAUCCCUUCGGGGUGUAAAGUUCUUUUAUAUGUGAGCAGUGCUUCUUAUAUUAACAGUAUGGGGAGAGAGAUAUUAGCAUAUGAAUAAGCAACGGCUAACUCCGUG
Molecule: ribosomal RNA, 481 nt
Filed under: uncultured bacterium
Lineage: Bacteria
Description: bacterial SSU rRNA
Rfam family: Bacterial small subunit ribosomal RNA
Source: RNAcentral